AGAGAGAGACAUGCGCGCAUAUCAAUAAGCGGAGGAAAAGAAACUAACUAGGAUUCCCUCAGUAACGGCGAGUGAAGCGGGAAGAGCUCAAAUUUGAAAUCUUCAAGGUUCUACCUUGACGAAUUGUAGUUUAAAGAAGUGUUUUCUGUUGGAGUUUUGGUAAAAGUUCUUUGGAAUAGGACAUCAUAGAGGGUGAGAAUCCCGUAUUUGACCAUUAUUUCCAGCUUUGUGAUACACUUUCAAAGAGUCGGAUUGUUUGGGAAUGCAGUCCAAAAUGGGUGGUAAAUUUCAUCUAAAGCUAAAUAUUGGCGAGAGACCGAUAGCGAACAAGUACCGUGAGGGAAAGAUGAAAAGAACUUUGAAAAGAGAGUUAAACAGUACGUGAAAUUGUCAAAAGGGAAGCGUUUGACACCAGUGUUGUUUUCUCGAAAAUCAAUUAAAAAAGGCAGGAUUUUGUGUUGUAUUGACUUUAUCAGCUUUCUGCACUCUUUUCUUGUCUUUUUUUAAUGCACUUUUCGUUUAACAAGUCAGCAUCAAUUUCUUUUGUUGUAAAAGGGUCAUUGGAAGGUGGCUUUCUUUUCGGAGAAAGUGUUUAUAGCCUUUGGCCUCUGCAAUCGGAGAGAUUGAGGUCUGCAGCGUAGAUCCUUCGGGGUUAGAUACAUUUGUGCUAAGUUAUAGCCUUUCAUAGACAACUUGUUGACUAUGAUCAGUCAUGUAGCUUACUCGCUUAUGCUAUUUUACCUACGCUUAGGAUGUUGAUGUGAUACUGCGAGCA
Molecule: ribosomal RNA, 775 nt
Filed under: uncultured Neocallimastigales
Lineage: Eukaryota; Fungi; Neocallimastigomycota; Neocallimastigomycetes; Neocallimastigales
Description: partial large subunit ribosomal RNA
Rfam family: Eukaryotic large subunit ribosomal RNA
Source: RNAcentral